Procambarus clarkii (red swamp crayfish) is the source of this 801-nucleotide long non-coding RNA. RefSeq lists it as uncharacterized. NCBI's taxonomy places the organism in Eukaryota, Metazoa, Arthropoda, Malacostraca, Decapoda, Cambaridae. The record is from RefSeq and is a predicted model, not a curated record.
GGAUUUGGGGGCGGUGUACACCGACUACUGGGGGCGAGUGUGGUGUUGCUCGUUGGUGGCUGAGACUAGUUCGUGCCGGGGCUAGUUGAGAGAAGCAGAGAAAUUUGGCAAGCGGAAUGGAUGACACGAGGCCAACAAUACCACUUGUAGCAAGGCAUUCAAAGGGACAUGCUACUCAGUAUCUCACUGCCUUUGCAGCUAUCAUGGGUGCCCUGGCUGCUGGGACUGUGUUGGGCUACUCGUCUCCAGCUGGUCCUAAAUUCAUGUCUAAUACAACCACUGGACCGCUGCAUCUGACCACGGAACAAAAUAUGUGGUUCUCAUCGUCAAUGAACUAGGGAGCUCUGAUGGGGGGGUCCUGUUGGUGGCCUAUGUCUUGGUGUUUUAAGUAGAUGAGGCACAAUGCUGGCUUCCACGGUACCCUUUGUCGCUGGAUGGCUUCUUAUUGUGGGAUUGCUGACCAGAUCUUCAAUCACAAGGUGUCGAGUGGGUAGGAAAGUCCCAGUCUAAAAAAUGUCACAUCCAAACAAGUACAGUAACUACAACUACGGAUUGGAUAGCAUAUGGAAUAGAUGGUGGCAUUGAAGAUGUUUGUGAGUGGUGAAACAAGCUGCCAUUCCCUAAGCAAGCAACAUUGAUGCAUCACUGACUAAAGCACAUUUGAAUGGAUAGUCUAGGCACUUGGCCUUCUCCACGUCCUUAUGCAAUGCUAUGAUACGCCAUGCCACGUCGCUAAGAUGAGCUGCAUAAUAUUGGUAAUUGAAGAAUGGUAUCAAAUUGGUGGAAUGCAAUAAGGCAAGU